UGGCGGAAUGCUUUACACAUGCAAGUCGAACGGCAGCACGGGGGCAACCCUGGUGGCGAGUGGCGAACGGGUGAGUAAUACAUCGGAACGUGCCCAGUCGUGGGGGAUAACUACGCGAAAGCGUAGCUAAUACCGCAUACGAUCUACGGAUGAAAGCGGGGGAUCGCAAGACCUCGCGCGAUUGGAGCGGCCGAUGGCAGAUUAGGUAGUUGGUGGGGUAAAGGCUCACCAAGCCAUCGAUCUGUAGCUGGUCUGAGAGGACGACCAGCCACACUGGGACUGAGACACGGCCCAGACUCCUACGGGAGGCAGCAGUGGGGAAUUUUGGACAAUGGGCGCAAGCCUGAUCCAGCCAUUCCGCGUGCAGGAUGAAGGCCUUCGGGUUGUAAACUGCUUUUGUACGGAACGAAAAAGCUCUUUCUAAUACAAGGAGUCCAUGACGGUACCGUAAGAAUAAGCACCGGCUAACUACGUGCCAGCAGCCGCGGUAAUACGUAGGGUGCAAGCGUUAAUCGGAAUUACUGGGCGUAAAGCGUGCGCAGGCGGUGAUGUAAGACAGUUGUGAAAUCCCCGGGCUCAACCUGGGAACUGCAUCUGUGACUGCAUCGCUGGAGUGCGGCAGAGGGG
This 627-nucleotide ribosomal RNA is filed under the name uncultured soil bacterium. Its description in RNAcentral is "bacterial SSU rRNA". It matches the Rfam family "Bacterial small subunit ribosomal RNA", at positions 37 to 659 of the family's 1533-position model. The record is from RNAcentral.